RNAcentral lists this long non-coding RNA (277 nucleotides) under Mytilus galloprovincialis (Mediterranean mussel). The record is from RNAcentral. Lineage: Eukaryota; Metazoa; Mollusca; Bivalvia; Mytilida; Mytilidae.
AGAGUACCAAAAUGGGAUUCAGAUAUAAAAUUAAACAAAUACUUCAUUUCAAUUGUUCGUUUGUUCAUUUUAUCUAUCUAAUUGUAAUAAAUUAUCAAUAACAAUUUGUAAAACUAAAAAUAAAGAUUGUGAUAAAUGCUUGUUUCAAUUUAACCCAUAUGAUUAAAUAACAUGUAUGGUCAGCUCGUACUGGACCGUAUGCGUAUACUCAUACGGUCCGACCGUACGCGUAUGGUCGGACCGUACGAGUAUACGUAUACGGUCCGGACCGUACGCG